GGUGGAUUAGUGGCGAACGGGUGAGUAACACGUGAGUAACCUGCCCUUAACUCUGGGAUAAGCCUGGGAAACUGGGUCUAAUACCGGAUAGGAGCGCCUACCGCAUGGUGGGUGUUGGAAAGAUUUAUCGGUUUUGGAUGGACUCGCGGCCUAUCAGCUUGUUGGUGAGGUAAUGGCUCACCAAGGCGACGACGGGUAGCCGGCCUGAGAGGGUGACCGGCCACACUGGGACUGAGACACGGCCCAGACUCCUACGGGAGGCAGCAGUGGGGAAUAUUGCACAAUGGGCGCAAGCCUGAUGCAGCGACGCCGCGUGAGGGAUGACGGCCUUCGGGUUGUAAACCUCUUUCAGUAGGGAAGAAGCGAAAGUGACGGUACCUGCAGAAGAAGCACCGGCUAACUACGUGCCAGCAGCCGCGGUAAUACGUAGGGUGCGAGCGUUAUCCGGAAUUAUUGGGCGUAAAGAGCUCGUAGGCGGUUUGUCGCGUCUGUCGUGAAAGUCCGGGGCUUAACCCCGGAUCUGCGGUGGGUACGGGCAGACUAGAGUGCAGUAGGGAGACUGGAAUUCCUGGUGUAGCGGUGGAAUGCGCAGAUAUCAGGAGGAACACCGAUGGCGAAGGCAGGUCUCUGGGCUGUAACUGACGCUGAGGAGCGAAAGCAUGGGGAGCGAACAGGAUUAGAUACCCUGGUAGUCCAUGCCGUAAACGUUGGGCACUAGGUGUGGGGACCAUUCCACGGUUUCCGCGCCGCAGCUAACGCAUUAAGUGCCCCGCCUGGGGAGUACGGCCGCAAGGCUAAAACUCAAAGGAAUUGACGGGGGCCCGCACAAGCGGCGGAGCAUGCGGAUUAAUUCGAUGCAACGCGAAGAACCUUACCAAGGCUUGACAUGUUCUCGAUCGCCGUAGAGAUACGGUUUCCCCUUUGGGGCGGGUUCACAGGUGGUGCAUGGUUGUCGUCAGCUCGUGUCGUGAGAUGUUGGGUUAAGUCCCGCAACGAGCGCAACCCUCGUUCCAUGUUGCCAGCACGUAAUGGUGGGGACUCAUGGGAGACUGCCGGGGUCAACUCGGAGGAAGGUGAGGACGACGUCAAAUCAUCAUGCCCCUUAUGUCUUGCGCUUCACGCAUGCUACAAUGGCCGGUACAAUGGGUUGCGAUACUGUGAGGUGGAGCUAAUCCCAAAAAGCCGGUCUCAGUUCGGAUUGGGGUCUGCAACUCGACCCCAUGAAGUC
Molecule: ribosomal RNA, 1228 nt
Filed under: Micrococcus sp. IT1
Lineage: Bacteria; Bacillati; Actinomycetota; Actinomycetes; Micrococcales; Micrococcaceae
Description: bacterial SSU rRNA
Rfam family: Bacterial small subunit ribosomal RNA
Source: RNAcentral